ACGUGACAGGACAUCUCGGACUCAGGGUUGUCAGGCUGGCCCCGCAGCAGAUAGGCAAAAUAGGUGAGGUCAUUGCUGUUGUGUAUGAAGCGAGAGAUGAGCUGUGCUUUGUGCUCGAAUAUGAAGACUGAAGAGUUGUUGCUGCUGGAAGGGACACAUCGGACGAAGGGGGGGUUGAGGACCAGCUGAACUUCUCUUGGCUGCACCAUGGGGCCGCAGUCUCCUUUCUCACUUCUCCUGCGGAUCUCAGCCACCAGCCACGGCAGCAUGGGCAGGGUGGUCCGCCUGUCGAGCGAGGACCAGCCGAUGUAAGUCAGGGCGAACCUCCUGUCGGACUUCGGAGGGCUGUUCUCCCUCUCCUCCUGACUCUCCAUGUCGACGCAGCAGACUUUCGGCUGAAGCUCGGUGACACAGAUGUGGGACUAAAGACUACUUUCAAAAAUGAUGCCGAGCCGAUCUGUACCAUUUGCAACCAAGGGUGGAUCGUAACCAUCGUAAAAGGUGCAUACCGCCACCUACUGUAUUGGAGCAUUGACAUACAACCCCGUUGCUCUGGACGGAGACUAAGGGGUCAAGUGGCGUCUCCAUGAAGUGGGGUGGAUGAUGAAGUUUGAUGCAGCAUCUUUACUCAAGGUAUACAUUGCCUUACACCAGAGUACAUACUCCUCUAUAAAUUACAUUAGCCCCUUGGACAGUUGGAGACCGCUGAACGGUAUUCACCCAGAGUUAUACUCACAUGAUGGGGACGGUUUAAUAGAGUGCUGUCUUGGUGUUGGACUUGACUUGAACACACUUGCUUAUGGUUUACUAAGACGACUGGUUUAUCAAAAAUAAAGGAAAACCUUAGCUUAAAAAGACACGCAUAUCAAGAUUAAACACUCCCUGUUGAAUGAACAAAAAACUACUGACAGAAUUUAGCAAAAGAAGUAAUUCCAUCUUGCCUUUAGAGAAUGAUCACUAGAUAGAUUAUUGUGCAAUUACUUCAAUCACACACUGCUCACACAGACCUCUUUGGUUGUCCUAUUGCUGUGUGAUAUGGUGAAAAAAGGCUGUGCUUGCACAUGUUGCUGGCUGUGGCUAAUACCCUGCUUUGCACUCAUUUGAACAGCAGAGUGACAAACACCUGUUGGCUGCA
This is a long non-coding RNA of Perca flavescens (yellow perch), 1135 nucleotides long. RefSeq lists it as uncharacterized. Lineage: Eukaryota; Metazoa; Chordata; Actinopteri; Perciformes; Percidae. The transcript has 3 exons. The record is from RefSeq and is a predicted model, not a curated record.